Long non-coding RNA from Magallana angulata, 1268 nucleotides. RefSeq lists it as uncharacterized. The record is from RefSeq and is a predicted model, not a curated record. Lineage: Eukaryota; Metazoa; Mollusca; Bivalvia; Ostreida; Ostreidae. The transcript is spliced from 3 exons.
GUGAAGCCGAAGUUUGGGGUGAUUAGCCUUAUCUCGUUAAAUUUUGUUCAGCAUGAAACAGUCUGACCAGCAAUCCUCGAUUUUGUCAACAAUCUAAAACGUGCUAAGGAGUAGUCAUUCGUCGAUUUACCUGCGGUUUCCAGAUGAUCUGAAGAUCGGGAUUAUAGAAAAUAUUGUCAAUUUGAUAUUGCUAAUGACCCAGUCAUGUCUGCUGAAGCCCAGAAGUUUCCAGACCAUGACAUUAAUGAAUAUUUCUUGAAUGGAAUGCAUGAGGAUUAGAACGGAACCUUAUUCUGCCUUUUUACCAACUCACACCAUCUUUUCAAGAUUUAUGGAGCCAACCACAGAAGAAUUUGUUCUAUACACAUCAUUCAUAACAUUCUUAUUUAUGUUGCAUAACUUUAAAUGUUACUGGAUGAAUUGUGUUCACAUAAUGAAUACCAGCAAACUUUUUAUCGAGUGCACUUAAUUUGUAUUUUUCCUACCCAUCCAUCUAACAUAUGUUUUUAUAUAACAUAUUCAUAUACAUGUAACAUUUUUGAAAACAGCUAUUUUUUUUAAAAUUGGAAUUAAGCCUUACCGGUACUAUUUUAUACAAGUUUUUUUUAAAGGGACUUGGACACGAUUUUAGAUCAAAAUUUUGUUUUCAAUUUCUUUAUGCAUAAAAUGAUUUACCUGCACAUUUUGAAUAAUUGACCAUAAUUUGAAUGUUAGAAGUCAAGUUAUAAGAGAGAUACAGGGGUAAGAAUUUAUUGUUAUGUAAACAAAGUUCGAGUCUUAUGUUUGUUUACAAAUAAUAUAAAGUAUGAAAUUACCAAUUCUUUGAGAAAAUGAUUCAUAGAAAAGAAGGUAAACUGAUUCGAUGUGAUCAUAAAUGAUAUUAUUAAUAGAAAAAAGCAACAUUUGAAUUAAACGUACACCAAUAAAACACAUAUGUAAAUAAUAACAAGACUCGCGCUUUGUUUACAAAACAAAGAAUAUUUAAUUUUUUAUCUCUCUUUUAACUCAGUAUUUGACUUUCAAAUUUUGACAAAGCAUUAAAAAUAUCCAUAUCAACCAUUCUAAAUAUUGAAAAUGGAAAUAUAAAAUUUUGAAUUUUAAGCUCAAAUCGUGUCGAAGUCCCUUGAAUAUACUCUUUUGUAUACAAACAGAACAAAAAAUACUUAAUUACAAUGGGAAAUAGACAUAAUAUAUAUAUAUAAGUGUCUGAUAAAAGUAUAGGUCUUGUUUUUGAACAGAAGAAAUUGACAGAAAAAUAUUCUGUUUUA